UAAAAGAUAAGCUAAGAAAGCUAAUGGACUCAUAUUUCAUUUAUGAUUAAUUCUCUUUUAG
RNAcentral lists this transfer RNA (61 nucleotides) under Metacrangonyx goulmimensis. RNAcentral's name for it is "transfer RNA Methionine". The record is from RNAcentral. Lineage: Eukaryota; Metazoa; Arthropoda; Malacostraca; Amphipoda; Metacrangonyctidae.